ACAAUUUGAGCAUUUCCUAACUUGAAGGAAUCCAAAACUUGACUUAUGAAUCAGAUUCCCUUCUUGCUCUUACUUUCAUCAAGGGCGUAGAUAUUACUAACCCUUGUUGCCCAAUAGUCUCCAAGAUUAUUUUGUUAUGGCAACAAGAUUGGGCUCUUCAGUUCAAGUAUACAUUAAGGGAGGGGAACUAAGUUUCUGAAUCUUUGACCAAAGAUGGUGCUCAAGGAAUUCAUGAGUCGAUUAUUCAUGAAACUUAUCCUAUUUCUGUGCAGUCCAAGUUGUUACCUGAUGCCUUAGGGUGUUGUUCCUAAGGUCUUAGUUUCUUUUGUUCUCUUUUUU
This 339-nucleotide long non-coding RNA is filed under the name Glycine max (soybean). RNAcentral describes it as "long non-coding RNA (GMAX_LNC003543)". Lineage: Eukaryota; Viridiplantae; Streptophyta; Magnoliopsida; Fabales; Fabaceae. The record is from RNAcentral.